GACUGAAAAAGGCAAAACCACCGAAAGGUGGCGACGCAAAGCCUCCGAUCUAAGGGUCACCAGCCUACGAUAGCGGGGUCGCCAGG
Molecule: non-coding RNA, 86 nt
Filed under: Gammaproteobacteria bacterium
Lineage: Bacteria; Pseudomonadati; Pseudomonadota; Gammaproteobacteria
Description: c-di-GMP sequence
Rfam family: c-di-GMP-I riboswitch aptamer
About the family: GEMM was predicted in a large-scale screen for bacterial structured RNA regulatory elements. Genes associated with GEMM are involved in a diverse array of functions, including chemotaxis regulation, signal transduction, secretion and chitin.
Source: RNAcentral